GGGGCCGUGGGGUAGUCAGGCCUAGCCUUCUGGCUUAAAACCAUUCAACAGAAUGGCUUGUCAAAUGGGACGUAGGCCUGCGCAAAAAUGCCAGGGACCCCGGUUCAAAUCCGGGCGGCCCCA
This 123-nucleotide transfer RNA is filed under the name candidate division MSBL1 archaeon SCGC-AAA382A13. RNAcentral's name for it is "candidate divison MSBL1 archaeon SCGC-AAA382A13 tRNA". It matches the Rfam family "tRNA". Rfam says of the family: Transfer RNA (tRNA) molecules are approximately 80 nucleotides in length. RNAcentral also lists the same sequence under 1 other name. Lineage: Archaea; Methanobacteriati; Methanobacteriota. The record is from Rfam by way of RNAcentral.